This 297-nucleotide ribosomal RNA is filed under the name uncultured Methanosaeta sp. RNAcentral describes it as "partial 16S ribosomal RNA". It matches the Rfam family "Archaeal small subunit ribosomal RNA", at positions 1042 to 1338 of the family's 1478-position model. The record is from RNAcentral. Lineage: Archaea; Methanobacteriati; Methanobacteriota; Methanomicrobia; Methanotrichales; Methanotrichaceae.
CGAGCGAGACCACGUCCACAGUUGCCAGCAUACCCUCCGGGGUGGAUGGGUACACUGUGGAGACCGCCGCUGCUAAAGCGGAGGAAGGAGUGGGCAACGGUAGGUCAGUAUGCCCCGAAUCUCCCGGGCUACACGCGGGCUACAAUGGUUGGUACAAUGGGCAUCUACCCCGAAAGGGGAAGGAAAUCUCUUAAAGCCAAUCGUAGUUCGGAUUGAGGGCUGCAACUCGCCCUCAUGAAGCUGGAAUCCGUAGUAAUCGCGUUUCAACAGAACGCGGUGAAUACGUCCCUGCUCCUU